GGGGAUGUAGCUCAGCGGGAGAGCACCGCCUUUGCAAGGCGGGGGUCAGGGGUUCGAAUCCCCUCAUCUCCACCA
RNAcentral lists this transfer RNA (75 nucleotides) under Chloroflexota bacterium. RNAcentral's name for it is "tRNA-Ala". It matches the Rfam family "tRNA". From Rfam's summary of the family: Transfer RNA (tRNA) molecules are approximately 80 nucleotides in length. Their secondary structure includes four short double-helical elements and three loops (D, anti-codon, and T loops). Lineage: Bacteria; Bacillati; Chloroflexota. The record is from RNAcentral.